RNAcentral lists this long non-coding RNA (744 nucleotides) under Urocitellus parryii (Arctic ground squirrel). RNAcentral describes it as "lncRNA (ENSUPAG00010004548.1)". Lineage: Eukaryota; Metazoa; Chordata; Mammalia; Rodentia; Sciuridae. The record is from RNAcentral.
CUUCUACCCGAACCCCCCCUCCCCCCCCAAGCAGAGAGACCCCAGCAGCAGCAGCAGCUGAUGAUGAAGAGAGAGGCAGUGGCAGAGGGGGGGCACCUUUUAUUUCUAUUUUUAAAGGGACAGGACACUAAUUUUACCCCACUUCAACCUUGAAUUGAGGGGGGUGGGGGGAAGGCGGCUGAGUUCCUUCCCCCACCCUCCAGCCCGGAGCCCUGAGAGGGGGAUUGAGCCUGAGAGAGAAGGAGAAGGAGUUUCUUCCUCUUCGAAAACCUCCAUCCACGACUCCUACCCCCUCACCCCUCCACUCGCUUCCCUCCCGAGCCCCCUCCACCCUCCUUCUCUUUGGCCGUGAGAGGAGGAGAGAAAGAGACCAAAAGCCUCUUAGCAACACAGACCCUUUGCUGUUGCUGCUGCUGCUGCUGUGGCUGCUGCUGUUGCUACUGCUGCUACUGCUGCUUGGCCCUGGCUGGAGACAUCUCACUACACCCAGGAGCAGCCACUUCCCCAGCUCUCCUCCUCCUCCUUCGCCUCCUCCUCCUUCACUCCCCCCCUUUAUUACCCUUUGUGUCAUCCUCCACAGCUCCAGGGAAGGCACUCAAAAGUGGGGGGCAGGAAAGAUGAUCCUUGGAGAUGUCAUUUUGUGCAUAUAUGAAAUAGAUCUUGAAGGGUUUAUGGUUUACAGACAAAAUCUUUAGAAGUUAGACACUCAAGGACCAAGAAAAUAAAUUCCAGAAACCAGGAGCA